GUUUGGUUGAAAGGUAAUGAGUUAUCUCAAUUGAUUGUUCACAGUCAGUUACAGAUCGAACUUCUUGUUCUGCUUUUUCUUCCCUUCUUACCACUGCACUUGACUAGUCUGUA
Molecule: Y RNA, 113 nt
Filed under: Propithecus coquereli (Coquerel's sifaka)
Lineage: Eukaryota; Metazoa; Chordata; Mammalia; Primates; Indriidae
Description: Y RNA (ENSPCOG00000000523.1)
Rfam family: Y RNA
About the family: Y RNAs are components of the Ro ribonucleoprotein particle (Ro RNP), in association with Ro60 and La proteins. The Y RNAs and Ro60 and La proteins are well conserved, but the function of the Ro RNP is not known.
Source: Rfam by way of RNAcentral